AGAGUUUGAUCCUGGCUCAGAGCGAACGCUGGCGGCAGGCUUAACACAUGCAAGUCGAGCGCUCGUAGCAAUACGGGAGCGGCAGACGGGAGAGUAACACGUGGGAACGUACCCUUCGGUUCGGAAUAACCCAGGGAAACUUGGGCUAAUACCGGAUACGUCCGUAAGGAGAAAGAUUUAUCGCCGAGGGAUCGGCCCGCGUCCGAUUAGCUAGUUGGUGGGGUAAUGGCCCACCAAGGCGACGAUCGGUAGCUGGUCUGAGAGGAUGAUCAGCCUCACUGGGACUGAGACACGGCCCAGACUCCUACGGGAGGCAGCAGUGGGGAAUAUUGGACAAUGGGCGCAAGCCUGAUCCAGCCAUGCCGCGUGGGUGAUGAAGGCCUUAGGGUUGUAAAGCCCUUCGGCGGG
This 408-nucleotide ribosomal RNA is filed under the name uncultured bacterium. RNAcentral's name for it is "bacterial SSU rRNA". It matches the Rfam family "Bacterial small subunit ribosomal RNA", at positions 8 to 442 of the family's 1533-position model. The record is from RNAcentral.